UGCUUCAUUUCUCAGCUGAGCCUCUGUCCCCGGUGGACCCAGCAGGGACAUCUGAGGUGGAACAGC
RNAcentral lists this microRNA precursor (66 nucleotides) under Chlorocebus sabaeus (green monkey). Its description in RNAcentral is "miRNA (ENSCSAG00000024993.1)". The record is from RNAcentral. Lineage: Eukaryota; Metazoa; Chordata; Mammalia; Primates; Cercopithecidae.